GAGGCGGGAAGCGCUAAUUUAGCAGAAUUUUCACAGGACCGAGAGAGAGAGAAAAUCAAAUGCAAUCGAAAAUUAGCAGCUUCUUCAAGCCCUCUUCUUCUACUGCAGACCCAUCCCAAUGUUGCAGUGAUAUGUUUGAUUAUGGGAGGUUACAGCCAGAAAUUGUUGUUACUUACCAGCGCAGACCUCAAAAUUCAUUUGGUGAAAUCGAUGGUGCAUCAACUGAUGAAGCAUCCAAGGAAAUAGACUUGGAGAAAUUUGUGCCAGACCUGGGGGUGGCAAAGUCUGGGAAAGUUUUGAAUAAGAAGAGAAAGUACGCCCAAUUUUAUUUGGAACUGGGCCAGUCUGAUUUUUUAUUGCAUACUUGUACCGUCUGUGGCUUCAAGUAUGCCAGAGGAGAUGAAGGGGAUGAAAAGUUUCAUAAGACAUUUCACAAGAAUUAUACGCAUGGUAUUCCAUUUAAGGGUUGGCGGAAUGAAAGAGUUCUUCAAAUUCCUCCACUUGAAAUUGGCCGAAUUAUUUUGGUGCUGGACGAUGACCCUCCUCUUCAGAGAAACAAGGUACAGGAAGUUGUGAAGAUGAUGGAGAUGGAACUUGGAGAUGGGUGGAUAUAUCAUCAGCUAUGCAAGGUUUAUCUGUUUAUAUCUUCUCAAAGAAUAUCUGGAUGUCUGGUAACAGAGCCCAUAAAGAAGGCGUAUAAGAUUCUCUCAAAAUCAGAAAGCAGCAGGUGUAAGGUUUCACCUGAGAAGGAAGCAAGACGGACUUCAACCACACUCCAAUUUGGGGGAGUGAGUUUCCAAAGGGAAAUUGUAAGAAUAAAUCAAUCAACCAAAAGCCAUGAAGAGUCUGAUAGUGGAGUAAUCUUGUGUGAGAAGGAAGCUGUAUCUGCUUUAUGUGGCAUUAGAGCCAUUUGGGUCAGUCCCUCCAACAGAAGAAAACAUAUUGCCAGCUAUUUGCUGGAUGCUGCUAGAAACAGAAUGGUGUAGUACUUUCUUCUGCUCAAGUACAUGAUCGAGUCGCUUGAUUGGUGCUUCUCAAGAUGAAGAGCUGUCCUCCAGCUUCGUAAAGUUUACCAGAGACUUCUACUCUCCCGGUACAAUUGCAGUUUCAGACAUAAUGCCUCUAGUUUUUCCAUGCAAUAAUUAUCUUGAUAAGGAAAUUGUUCUGAGGAAUAUAGCUGAGUGCUAUCAAGGAGGUUUAGAGAUGAUUAAGAAGGUUUUGCCCACUGCUUCCUUUAUUCAACGUGCAACAUUUUCAAAUUCAUGCUAUUACAAAGGUGUUCAUGGUGAUCAAGUGGCUGUUACGGGCAAGGAUUAUGCUUUACUCAAGCCUACUGAAGAACAGUGGAUACAAAUGCAAACGUCCUUAGAUAUCAGUUUCAAAGGAGUUCUGGGAUUCUUGGGGAACCUUUUGCAAGAAUUUAGUUCUUAAACGCUCAGAGUUGGCCUAUUCUCAGCCA
Molecule: non-coding RNA, 1459 nt
Organism: Nicotiana tabacum (common tobacco)
Lineage: Eukaryota; Viridiplantae; Streptophyta; Magnoliopsida; Solanales; Solanaceae
Source: RefSeq, a predicted model, not a curated record